UCUGAUGGCGAGUGGCGAACGGGUGAGUAAUAUAUCGGAACGUGCCCAGUAAUGGGGAAUAACUAGCCGAAAGGUUAGCUAAUACCGCAUACGACCUACGGGUGAAAGCAGGGGAUCUUAGGACCUUGCGUUAUUGGAGCGGCCGAUAUCUGAUUAGCUUGUUGGUGGGGUAAAAGCCUACCAAGGCAACGAUCAGUAGCUGGUCUGAGAGGACGAUCAGCCACACUGGAACUGAGACACGGUCCAGACUCCUACGGGAGGCAGCAGUGGGGAAUUUUGGACAAUGGGGGAAACCCUGAUCCAGCCAUCCCGCGUGAGUGAAGAAGGCCUUCGGGUUGUAAAGCUCUUUCGAAAGUGAAGAAAACUUAUUUCGUAAUAUGUUAUAAGUAUGACGGU
Molecule: ribosomal RNA, 396 nt
Filed under: uncultured bacterium
Lineage: Bacteria
Description: bacterial SSU rRNA
Rfam family: Bacterial small subunit ribosomal RNA
Source: RNAcentral